CCUACGGGCGGCAGCAGUGAGGACUAUUGGUCAAUGGGCGGAAGCCUGAACCAGCCAAGUCGCGUGAGGGAAUAAGGCCCUACGGGUCGUAAACCUCUUUUGCCGGGGAGCAAGGGUCGGGACGAGUCCCGGUCCGGCGAGUCCCCGGAGAAAAAGCAUCGGCUAACUCCGUCCCUGCAGCCGCGGUAAUACGGGGGAUGCGAGCGUUAUCCGGAUUUUUGGGGGUUCAAGGGUGCGUAGGCGGGCUUUUAAGUCAGCGGUAAAAAUUCGGGGCUAAACGACGUCCGGCCGUUGAGACUGGGGGCCGUGAGUGGGCGAGAAGAAGGCGGAAUGCGUGGUGUAGCGGUGAAAUGCAUAGAUAUCACGCAGAACCCCGAUUGCGAAGGCAGCCUUCCGGCGCCCUACUGACGCUGAGGCACGAAAGUGCGGGGAUCGAACAGGAUUAGAUACCCGAGUAGUC
This 460-nucleotide ribosomal RNA is filed under the name uncultured bacterium. RNAcentral's name for it is "partial 16S ribosomal RNA". It matches the Rfam family "Bacterial small subunit ribosomal RNA", at positions 338 to 795 of the family's 1533-position model. The record is from RNAcentral.